GGGGAUGUGGCGAAAUUGGUAGACGCACUGGAUUUAGGUUCCAGCGCCGCAAGGUGUAAGAGUUCGAGUCUCUUCAUCCCCACCA
Molecule: transfer RNA, 85 nt
Filed under: Acinetobacter nectaris
Lineage: Bacteria; Pseudomonadati; Pseudomonadota; Gammaproteobacteria; Moraxellales; Moraxellaceae
Also listed under: 7 other names
Description: tRNA-Leu
Rfam family: tRNA
About the family: Transfer RNA (tRNA) molecules are approximately 80 nucleotides in length. Their secondary structure includes four short double-helical elements and three loops (D, anti-codon, and T loops). Further hydrogen bonds mediate the characteristic L-shaped molecular structure. tRNAs have two regions of fundamental functional importance: the anti-codon, which is responsible for specific mRNA codon recognition, and the 3' end, to which the tRNAs corresponding amino acid is attached (by aminoacyl-tRNA synthetases). tRNAs cope with the degeneracy of the genetic code in two manners: having more than one tRNA (with a specific anti-codon) for a particular amino acid; and 'wobble' base-pairing, i.e. permitting non-standard base-pairing at the 3rd anti-codon position.
Source: RNAcentral